RNAcentral lists this long non-coding RNA (303 nucleotides) under Erythranthe guttata (spotted monkey flower). RNAcentral's name for it is "long non-coding RNA (EGUT_LNC002694)". Lineage: Eukaryota; Viridiplantae; Streptophyta; Magnoliopsida; Lamiales; Phrymaceae. The record is from RNAcentral.
GUAGGAGAUGAUCGAUUUUCUUCUCGAGUUUCUGUCGACUUUUCAAGAAUUACAUUACUAGCUGGCCAAGCUAUAGCUGAAUUAACUGCAUCUUUAACGCGUACCAAAUCCACUGUAGGACGCCAGAGAAAUGCUUCAGGAAUUAUUGCAACAUCUACACAAACUAUCAUGGCAUUGGGUCCGAGAUGAAUAUUAUUGACCAAAGCAUUUGGGUCACUCGAUUGCAAGAAACCUUCAGCAACUAUUUCAUUUUUUCCACUCCAAUCGAAUAAUAUACAUCUAGUUCUUGAAGUAUUCUACCAA